Molecule: unclassified non-coding RNA, 520 nt
Filed under: uncultured Glomus
Lineage: Eukaryota; Fungi; Glomeromycota; Glomeromycetes; Glomerales; Glomeraceae
Description: SSU rRNA
Rfam family: Eukaryotic small subunit ribosomal RNA
Source: RNAcentral
AGCAGCCGCGGUAAUUCCAGCUCCAAUAGCGUAUAUUAAAGUUGCUGCAGUUAAAAAGCUCGUAGUUGAAUUUCGGGAUCAAUAUGUUGGUCGUGCCUCGGUACGUACUAGCUUAUUGGUUUCUCCCUUCUGACGAACCAUGAUGUCAUUUAUUUGGUGUUAUGGGAAAUCAGGACUGUUACUUUGAAAAAAUUAGAGUGUUUAAAGCAGGCUCACGCUUGAAUACAUUAGCAUGGAAUAAUGAAAUAGGACGUUUGAUUCUAUUUUGUUGGUUUCUAGGAUCGACGUAAUGAUUAAUAGGGAUAGUUGGGGGCAUUAGUAUUCAAUUGUCAGAGGUGAAAUUCUUGGAUUUAUUGAAGACUAACUACUGCGAAAGCAUUUGCCAAGGAUGUUUUCAUUAAUCAAGAACGAAAGUUAGGGGAUCGAAGACGAUCAGAUACCGUCGUAGUCUUAACCAUAAACUAUGCCGACUAGGGAUCGGAUGAUGUUAAUUUUUUAAUAACUCAUUCGGCGCCUUACG